CGGUUGAUCCUGCCGGACCCUACUGCUAUCGGGGUGGGACUAAGACAUGCGUGUCGAACGACCCCAAGCCAACAUGAGGUCGUGGCAUACGGCUCAGUAACACGUGGCUAACCUACCCUCGAGACAGGGACAACCCCGGGAAACUGGGGCUAAUCCCAGAUAGAUGAAGACCCCUGGAACGGGUCCUCGUCCAAAAGGCACCGCGGUUACGCUCUGCAGUGUCGCUCAAGGAUGGGGCCGCGUCCGAUCAGGCUGUUGGUGAGGUAAUGGCUCACCAAACCUAUAACCGGUACGGGCCGUGGGAGCGGGAGCCCGGAGAUGGGAACUGAGACAAGGUCCCAGGCCCUACGGGGCGCAGCAGUUACGAAAACUUGUCAAUGCACGAAAGUGUGAACGGGCUACCCCGAGUGCCGUCCGCUGAGGAUGGCUUUUCUCUGCUUUAAGAAGGCAGAGGAAUAAGGCGAGGGCAAGUCUGGUGUCAGCCGCCGCGGUAACACCGGCGGCCCGAGUGGUAGCCGUUUUUAUUGGGUUUAAAGGGCCCGUAGCCGGCCUAUUAAGUCUCUUGGGAAAUCUGGCGGCUUAAUCGUCAGGCGACCAAGAGAUACUGGUAGGCUUGGGACCGGGAGAGGUGGGAGGUACUCCAGGGGUAGGGGUGAAAUCUCGUAAUCCUUGGGGGACCACCGAUGGCGAAGGCAUCCCACCAGAACGGGUCCGACGGUGAGGGACGAAAGCUGGGGGCACGAACCGGAUUAGAUACCCGGGUAGUCCCAGCUGUAAACGAUGCUCGCUAGGUGUCAGGUGCGGUGCGACCGCAUCUGGUGCCGCAGUGAAAACUUGAAGCGAGUCACCUGGGAAGUACGGUCGCAAGGUUGAAACUUAAAGGAAUUGGCGGGGGAGCACUACAACGGGUGGAGCCNUGCGGUUCAAUUGGAGUCAACGCCGGGAACCUUACCGGGGGCGACAGCAGGAUGAAAGCCAGAUUGAUGGUCUUGCUGGACGAGCUGAGAGGAGGUGCAUGGCCGUCGCCAGUUCGUGCCGUGAGGUGUCCUGUCAAGUCAGGCAACGAUCGAGACCCACACCCUCUGUUGCCACUGAGGAGUUUUCCAAGGGGCACUCUGGGGGGACUGCCGUCGAUAAGACGGAGGAAGGGGUGGGCUACGGCAGGUCAGUAUGCCCCGAAUCCUCCGGGCCACACGCGAGCUGCAAUGGCAGGUACAAUGAGUUCCAACCUCGAAAGGGGGAGGCAAUCCCGAAAGCCUGCCGUAGUUGGGAUUGAGGGUUGUAACCCACCCUCAUGAACAUGGAAUCCCUAGUAAUCGCGCGUCAUCAGCGCGCGGUGAAUACGUCCCCGCUCCUUGCACACACCGCCCGUCGUUCCACUCGAGUGGGCUUUGGGUGAGGCGUGGUCUUGUUGGCUGCGUCGAAUCCAUGGUUCGUGAGAGGGGAAAAGUCGUAACAAGGUAGCC
This 1466-nucleotide ribosomal RNA is filed under the name uncultured archaeon. RNAcentral's name for it is "bacterial SSU rRNA". It matches the Rfam family "Archaeal small subunit ribosomal RNA". The record is from RNAcentral.